CCCACAUAGAAAACCGUCUACGAAAUGAAAGCGUCACUUGGAGGUCGAGAAUCACUGACCAAGAAAUCCUGACGAAUAAUAUAAAACUCACUCGCGAAGAUGAAUUAAAAGAAAAUAAUACUUUGCCGUUGCCUCUCGUAUGUAUAGCCUAACGAAGCGGGAAGCGGUCAAUAGCUUGCCAGUCGACACGUGGAGGCAGAAGCAAGCAGGCAGGCAACGGCAACAGCAGCAGCAGCAGUCUUAGAGACUUCGAACACAAAAUGGACGACCUGGUCGGCUGGCAUGCGAGGGCCAAACCGUUCGUCGCGCAAAUCUACCGCUAGCUAGAAUUAAUACUGUGCUGGUGCGGCGUGACUUUAGCUCUUGCAGCAGUCGUGCGAGUCCGGGACCGGGCGUCGUUCGUGCGCGUGUGCGUGUUCAGAGAAGAAAAACACGUUUGUAUUAGAGAAAGAACGUCUCACACAGCGGUGCAACGGAGAGGAGGAGAAUAAAGAAGAAGGGGACGAGUCGCUCGGUUUCGUAUUCUCCUCAGGGACUACGAUUCGUGCUGUGAACGAACGUCCGUGUGCGAAAGAACGGUACAAGCAAACAGUACAGGAGCCAGUGCCGCACAAUAGUAGAGACUAGAGAGCGGCCCGAGUGCCAGAAGUCCCGCGCCUAAUAAAUAUAGGAGCAUAAAACACGGAAUAACUUUUCCUCUUGUUUUCUAUUGCUUUCGAACUGUCUUUUCUUAAUUUUUGAUUUUCACUCAUUCUUUGUCUAUUUAUUUUAGAUCAAAGCACGAGGAUCAUUUUUUUUCCUUCUCUUCACGCUAUUACCAUUGAGUAACUAUACUUCGAACCGAAGUAUGGCUACUCAAUGCUGUUACUCUUGAAAACGUCUGUCGGAAAAGAUGGCAAUCAACCGAGCGCAACGAAACUACGCAAAAUCAUUCGGGUGACGAAUGUCCCAAAAGUUAGUUUUGAACAGAAAAAAAUAACUUUAUCUAAAAUGUUUAAUAGAGGCAAAGUACUAUGUAGAUAUCCUGCGACACCUCUAACUAAUUAUAAACUUUGGAUAAUUUCCAUUGGAUUUCAAACGGAUAUGAAGUUUGUUACGAAAGUCAAACAUACGGUAGACUUGUAGAGAUUAAAAGAAUUUGACUUUCGCAAUUAAAUGCAUAAAUCAUUGGAAAAAAUCAGGAAAAAAAACUGCGCGAGGCUGAGCAGAUGAAAGAAGUUUAAUC
Molecule: long non-coding RNA, 1225 nt
Organism: Athalia rosae (coleseed sawfly)
Lineage: Eukaryota; Metazoa; Arthropoda; Insecta; Hymenoptera; Athaliidae
Exons: 3
Source: RefSeq, a predicted model, not a curated record